RNAcentral lists this ribosomal RNA (465 nucleotides) under uncultured bacterium. RNAcentral describes it as "partial 16S ribosomal RNA". It matches the Rfam family "Bacterial small subunit ribosomal RNA", at positions 28 to 506 of the family's 1533-position model. The record is from RNAcentral.
GAUGAACGCUGGCGGCGUGCUUAACAUAUGCAAGUCGAACGAUGAAGCCCAGCUUGCUGGGUGGAUUAGUGGCGAACGGGUGAGUAACACGUGAGUAGCCUGCCCUUAACUCUGGGAUAAGCCUGGGAAACUGGGUCUAAUACCGGAUAGGAGCGUCCACCGCAUGGUGGGUGUUGGAAAGAUUUAUCGGUUUUGGAUGGACUCGCGGCCUAUCAGCUUGUUGGUGAGGUAAUGGCUCACCAAGGCGACGACGGGUAGCCGGCCUGAGAGGGUGACCGGCCACACUGGGACUGAGACACGGCCCAGACUCCUACGGGAGGCAGCAGUGGGGAAUAUUGCACAAUGGGCGCAAGCCUGAUGCAGCGACGCCGCGUGAGGGAUGACGGCCUUCGGGUUGUAAACCUCUUUCAGUAGGGAAGAAGCGAAAGUGACGGUACCUGCAGAAGAAGCACCGGCUAACUACGU